Molecule: ribosomal RNA, 495 nt
Filed under: uncultured Oomycota
Lineage: Eukaryota; Oomycota
Description: LSU rRNA
Rfam family: Eukaryotic large subunit ribosomal RNA
Source: RNAcentral
AGCAUAGCGAUUUGGGAUAAGUCCCUUGGAAGAGGACAGCAUCGAGGGUGAUACUCCCGUUUGUGCCUGAGUAGCUUGUGCGUACGACACGUUUUCUUUGAGUCGCGUUGUUUGGGACUGCAGCGCAAAGUAGGUGGUAAAUUCCAUCUAAAGCUAAAUAUUGGUGCGAGACCGAUAGCGAACAAGUACCGUGAGGGAAAGAUGAAAAGAACUUUGAAAAGAGAGUUAAAGAGUACCUGAAACUGCUGAAAGGGAACCGAAUCGUUUCCAGUGUCUAUAAUCCAUGGUAUAUUUCAUUGGCGUGUGAGUGCGUGCAGCGUUUUGGAAGCGGUCUCCGCUCCUGUCGUUGUUGUGCAUUUGCUUGCUGGUGCCCUGUGCUGUGGUGGGACGUCAGAGUCAGUUUGUAUGUCGCGGGAAAUGGUUAUCAGGGAGGUAGGUCGCUUCGGUGGCUGUUAUAUCCUGGUAACUAGUCGUCGUGGUUGAGACUGAGCUGCC